RNAcentral lists this ribosomal RNA (1345 nucleotides) under uncultured bacterium. RNAcentral describes it as "partial 16S ribosomal RNA". It matches the Rfam family "Bacterial small subunit ribosomal RNA", at positions 28 to 1381 of the family's 1533-position model. The record is from RNAcentral.
GACGAACGCUGGCGGCGUGCUUAACACAUGCAAGUCGAACGGAAAGGCCCUGCUUUUGUGGGGUGCUCGAGUGGCGAACGGGUGAGUAACACGUGAGUAACCUGCCCUUGACUUUGGGAUAACUUCAGGAAACUGGGGCUAAUACCGGAUAGGAGCUCCUGCUGCAUGGUGGGGGUUGGAAAGUUUCGGCGGUUGGGGAUGGACUCGCGGCUUAUCAGCUUGUUGGUGGGGUAGUGGCUUACCAAGGCUUUGACGGGUAGCCGGCCUGAGAGGGUGACCGGCCACAUUGGGACUGAGAUACGGCCCAGACUCCUACGGGAGGCAGCAGUGGGGAAUAUUGCACAAUGGGCGGAAGCCUGAUGCAGCAACGCCGCGUGCGGGAUGACGGCCUUCGGGUUGUAAACCGCUUUCGCCUGUGACGAAGCGUGAGUGACGGUAAUGGGUAAAGAAGCACCGGCUAACUACGUGCCAGCAGCCGCGGUGAUACGUAGGGUGCGAGCGUUGUCCGGAUUUAUUGGGCGUAAAGGGCUCGUAGGUGGUUGAUCGCGUCGGAAGUGUAAUCUUGGGGCUUAACCCUGAGCGUGCUUUCGAUACGGGUUGACUUGAGGAAGGUAGGGGAGAAUGGAAUUCCUGGUGGAGCGGUGGAAUGCGCAGAUAUCAGAGGAACACCAGUGGCGAAGGCGGUUCUCUGGGCCUUUCCUGACGCUGAGGAGCGAAAGCGUGGGGAGCGAACAGGCUUAGAUACCCUGGUAGUCCACGCUGUAAACGGUGGGUACUAGGUGUGGGGUCCAUUCCACGGGUUCCGUGCCGUAGCUAACGCUUUAAGUACCCCGCCUGGGGAGUACGGCCGCAAGGCUAAAACUCAAAGGAAUUGACGGGGCCCCGCACAAGCGGCGGAGCAUGCGGAUUAAUUCGAUGCAACGCGUAGAACCUUACCUGGGUUUGACAUGGAUCGGGAGUGCUCAGAGAUGGGUGUGCCUCUUUUGGGGUCGGUUCACAGGUGGUGCAUGGCUGUCGUCAGCUCGUGUCGUGAGAUGUUGGGUUAAGUCCCGCAACGAGCGCAACCCUUGUUCACUGUUGCCAGCACGUUAUGGUGGGGACUCAGUGGAGACCGCCGGGGUCAACUCGGAGGAAGGUGGGGAUGACGUCAAGUCAUCAUGCCCCUUAUGUCCAGGGCUUCACGCAUGCUACAAUGGCUGGUACAGAGAGUGGCGAGCCUGUGAGGGUGAGCGAAUCUCGGAAAGCCGGUCUCAGUUCGGAUUGGGGUCUGCAACUCGACCUCAUGAAGUCGGAGUCGCUAGUAAUCGCAGAUCAGCAACGCUGCGGUGAAUACGUUCCCGGGGCU